RNAcentral lists this ribosomal RNA (400 nucleotides) under uncultured bacterium. RNAcentral's name for it is "bacterial SSU rRNA". It matches the Rfam family "Bacterial small subunit ribosomal RNA", at positions 355 to 770 of the family's 1533-position model. The record is from RNAcentral.
UGGGGAAUAUUAGGCAAUGGGCGAAAGCCUGACCUAGCGACGCCGCGUGAGGGAAGACGGUCUUCGGAUUGUAAACCUCUGUCUUUGGGGACGAAGAAGAUGACGGUACCCAAAGAGGAAGCCACGGCUAACUACGUGCCAGCAGCCGCGGUAAUACGUAGGUGGCGAGCGUUGUCCGGAAUUACUGGGUGUAAAGGGAGCGUAGGCGGGAACGCAAGUUGAAUGUGAAAACUAUGGGCUCAACCGAUAGUUGCGUUCAAAACUGCGAAUCUUGAGUGAAGUAGAGGCAGGCGGAAUUCCUAGUGUAGCGGUAAAAUGCGUAGAUAUUAGGAGGAACACCAGUGGCGAAGGCGGCCUGCUGGGCUUUAACUGACGCUGAGGCUCGAAAGUGUGGGGAGCA